GGGGAUUUAGCUCAGCAGCAUAAGCACCUGCCUUACAAGCAGGCAGGCGGUCGUGAGUUUCGAUCCCCA
This 69-nucleotide transfer RNA is filed under the name Cavia porcellus (domestic guinea pig). It matches the Rfam family "tRNA". Rfam says of the family: Transfer RNA (tRNA) molecules are approximately 80 nucleotides in length. Their secondary structure includes four short double-helical elements and three loops (D, anti-codon, and T loops). The record is from Rfam by way of RNAcentral. Lineage: Eukaryota; Metazoa; Chordata; Mammalia; Rodentia; Caviidae.